AGUGAAUAGAUACCCGGGUAGUCCUGGCAGUAAACGGUGCACGUUUGGUGUGGGAGGAUUCGACCCCUUCUGCGCCGGAGCUAAACGCGUUAAGCGUGCCGCCUGGGGAGUACGGUCGCAAGAUUAAAACUACAAAGAAAUUGACGGGGGCCCGGCACAAGCGGUGGAGUAUGUGGCUUAAUUCGAUGCAACGCGAAGAACCUUACCUGGCCUUGACAUGCAUCUCUAAGUUGGUGAAAGCCAGCGAGUCUCGAAAGAGACAAUUUGCACAGGUGCUGCAUGGCUGUCGUCAGCUCGUGUCGUGAGAUGUUGGGUUUAAGUCCCGCAACGAGCGCAACCCCUGUGAACUGUUGCCACGGAACCGAGAGGUUCCAGCACCCUGUUCAGACUGCCCUGUG
This 398-nucleotide ribosomal RNA is filed under the name uncultured bacterium. RNAcentral describes it as "bacterial SSU rRNA". It matches the Rfam family "Bacterial small subunit ribosomal RNA", at positions 774 to 1158 of the family's 1533-position model. The record is from RNAcentral.